GGUUGUCGUCAGCUCGUGCCGUGAGGUGUUGGGUUAAGUCCCGCAACGAGCGCCAACCCCUGCAUUCAGUUGCCAGUCGGGUAAUGCCGGGCACUCUGGAAGGACUGCCAUCGACAAGAUGGAGGAAGGUGGGGAUGACGUCAAGUCAUCAUGGCCCUUAUGUCCAGGGCGACACACGUGCUACAAUGGCCGGCACAACGGGAAGCGAGUUCGCGAGGACGAGCGGAUCCCUCAAAGCCGGUCGCAGUUCGGAUUGAAGUCUGCAACUCGACUUCAUGAAGCUGGAAUCGCUAGUAAUCGUGGAUCAGCCAAGCCGCGGUGAAUACGUUCCCGGGCCUU
Molecule: ribosomal RNA, 339 nt
Filed under: uncultured Synergistaceae bacterium
Lineage: Bacteria; Thermotogati; Synergistota; Synergistia; Synergistales; Synergistaceae
Description: bacterial SSU rRNA
Rfam family: Bacterial small subunit ribosomal RNA
Source: RNAcentral